CAGUAGCCACGGUAAUACGUAGGUCCCGAGCGCUGUCCGGAUUUAUUGGGCGUAAAGGGAGCGCAGGCGGUUUAGUAAGUCUGAAGUUAAAGGCAUUGGCUCAACCAAUGUAUGCUUUGGAAACUGUUAGACUUGAGUGCAGAAGGGGAGAGUGGAAUUCCAUGUGUAGCGGUGAAAUGCGUAGAUAUAUGGAGGAACACCGGUGGCGAAAGCGGCUCUCUGGUCUGUCACUGACGCUGAGGCUCGAAAGCGUGGGUAGCGAACAGGAUUAGAUACCCCCGUAGUCCCUGUCUCUUAUACA
RNAcentral lists this ribosomal RNA (301 nucleotides) under uncultured bacterium. RNAcentral describes it as "partial 16S ribosomal RNA". It matches the Rfam family "Bacterial small subunit ribosomal RNA", at positions 509 to 808 of the family's 1533-position model. The record is from RNAcentral.